Molecule: ribosomal RNA, 504 nt
Filed under: uncultured bacterium
Lineage: Bacteria
Description: partial 16S ribosomal RNA
Rfam family: Bacterial small subunit ribosomal RNA
Source: RNAcentral
GAUAAACGCUAGCGGCAGGCUUAACACAUGCAAGUCGAGGGGCAGCAUAGAUUGUAGCAAUACAAUUGGUGGCGACCGGCGCACGGGUGCGUAACGCGUAUGCAACCUACCCGUCACAGGGGGAUAAUCCGGAGAAAUCUGGUCUAAUACCCCAUAACAUAUGGAUCGGCAUCGGUUCAUGUUUAAAUUAUCGGCGGUGACGGAUGGGCAUGCGUAGCAUUAGCUUGUUGGUGAGGUAACGGCUCACCAAGGUGACGAUGCGUAGGGGGACUGAGAGGUUUUCCCCCCACACUGGUACUGAGACACGGACCAGACUCCUACGGGAGGCAGCAGUGAGGAAUAUUGGUCAAUGGGCGCAAGCCUGAACCAGCCAUGCCGCGUGCAGGAUGACGGCUCUAUGAGUUGUAAACUGCUUUUGUACGAGGGUAAAGUGGGUUACGUGUAACCUUUUGAAAGUAUCGUGCGAAUAAGGAUCGGCUAACUCCGUGCCAGCUGCCGCGGUAA